UUUCCAAUAUCAUUGAAAUUCAUAACCAAAGUGAGAAUGAAAUUCACUCCUCUGCGUUCCUUGUUAUUAGUUGCUUGCUGGACCUGGAGAGGAAGGGAUCUCUCAUUAGGAGAAAUGGAUCUCUUUCAGGCAGGUGGCAGUAAAGCGAUUAAUAACAACUGACAGAGAAUUAAGACAUGAAGGAAGACGUUUGGUAAGUUCAGUAAAAGCUCUUUCCAGUCCAUGAUAGGUUACUUACUAAACUAUGAGGUCACCUUUUGCAGCAAACAAUGUGUUCUUUUUAAGCUAGAGAAUAAAUUUUGCCAUUGUGAGAUCAUAAAAAUGAUAUCACUACUGCUGUUCAGGUAACUUGGCCAUAUACAAUGCCAUCUUAAAAAGCAGGAGAUGCUUUUUAAGCCAUGAAAAAAGCUUCACGUCCCUUCUUUUCAUUGAAAGAUCAACAUCAUUCAAAAGUGAAUGAUGUUUACUCGACAUUUGAGGUCCUCCACUGGUCCCUCCUACCCCAACAAAAUGCAUCAUUUCCAUAGCUAAUUCUCUGCAGAAUGCUUCCAUAGCUUAUCUUUCCCCAUUCUUUUUCUCUUUAAUCCAUUCUUUUCGAGAUUAAAAGGCUUGAUUGAUGUUCAUAUUCUGUGCAUCUUUACCACAACAAUUACGGUUCCUUCACAAAGCAUCCUCCAAUCUCUUCAAUCCUCUCCUAGCUAGUUGCAGGUUCAAUUGUGAGGUUUCAUUUUUGUAUUAAUAACAUCAUGACAGAACAUGUCAGACAGAAAUAGAAAUUAAACAGAGAGUUUCUACAAGGUUCUGAUGGCGAUUUGGAGGACAGUGACAGGUAUUGUGUAAUGCACAACAAGAGAAAGAAGAUAAAACCAGGCCUGUUUGAUUAGAACAAAGGCUUUGUCCUCCACACAAAGUUUAUGUAGUAAAGAGGACAUCUUGGGACGGUUGAAAAGUCACUGUGCUCUAAAAGUGAUUAUAAAUGUUGCAGAAACUUUUUUGUAUUUUCUGUUAGCAGGAGAGAACUUGUACCUGGAUCCCAGUACAUGGUAAUUUCAAGUGUACAGCAAUGUCAUUUUCCAGACAUGGUUGAAAAAUUGUGGUAAGAAAACAACUAUUCAAAUAGAGCAUUGAGUACUAUUUAUCCUAUCUGGUUAUUCAGUGUUUGCUUGGAUACCAAAAACCUUAUCUACAUUUCGAUUGAUUCCCAUUCAUUGGCUGUUCUAAUAUCCAUCUAUCCUAUUCUAUGCCUAUGGAGACACCAUUUCAGCUUGUAUUAUUACAUUCAUGUGGGUUUAUCUGCAAAUGGGAAUGCCAAGAAGAGGUCCCUUUCCCCACCCUUUUCCUCACUUAAGCUGUUUCUUUGGAGAGAUCUCUAGAAUUCUCUAUUCUGCUAAGAUAUUGGGGUUUUCGAGCUUCAAUUUUUUUUUUUUUUUUUUUUUUUAAAUUUAUUUUCUAUCAGGAAACAACAAAGGACAGGGAAAAUGCUGGGAGAUGUGUCAGCUUUUCAUUCACUCAAUUUACUCAUCCUUAGAUUCCUCUAAAUCUUUCCACAUGUUGAGUUGUUUUGUAUGCCAAAAAGAGAGCCAAGAUUUUGUUUUGUCCCACAUGAAAUAAAAAAACAAAUCCCCUAUUAUUAAUUGUCUCCAUCUACUUCAUUCCAUGAUGGGUGUUUUGAACCUGCAAAUUCUUAUAUCAUUCAAUCUUUAGAGAAACCAAAAGGGAUAAUAUCUAUUUGCUCUCUCAAUGUCUUCACAAGUUUCAAUCAAUCUCUCCUCUUCUUCUUGUUCUUCCAGACGUCAAUCCCUUUAACCCUUUGUUUCUGACCCUUUUGUCUGAUUUUUCUUGCCGUCUGGUCAAUUUUUGUUCAUUUGGAAAGCCAUUUAUUUGGAGUGUUACUAUGGUUAGGGCUACCUUCAAUAAUUCUUUUUGUAAUCAUGAGUAUGAGCUCUGAAAAUUGAUAUUAAUUAUGGGGUAGAGUUUGGA
Long non-coding RNA from Cucurbita moschata (crookneck pumpkin), 1980 nucleotides. RefSeq lists it as uncharacterized. The transcript has 3 exons. NCBI's taxonomy places the organism in Eukaryota, Viridiplantae, Streptophyta, Magnoliopsida, Cucurbitales, Cucurbitaceae. The record is from RefSeq and is a predicted model, not a curated record.